ACAACCGGUUGCUGAUAGUGCAACAAUAUUCCAGAAUAGACCGCAGAUAGUCUGGACGUUGUUUAUCGGCGUAGCGGCAAAACGUAUGGCAGAUACGCCGACCCACGACGCCUCGCAUAACUUGCAAACCGACUGUGGUUUCGCUUAUGCAAAAGAAAGUAGAAUGGGUAGACUCUACCACAGACUAGAAACGAUUGUUUUAAUUUUUAAUCAUACAAACUGAAUGGGUUGCAUUUCUGACAACCGAUUUUUUCUACGCCACUGCGUCUGAUAUGAUACGAUCGAACAACUGAUGGAACGCCGGGUAUUUCCUGAUUGUGAAACCGACCCGUGGAAGAUCCGCAAACGUUUCCCUGGUAUUCGUUAAAAUUGACGCGAGCUGAGAAAUGAAGACGUAACGAGGUGUAAAACGCCUCGAGGAAGUUUACCUUCGAUUUCUCGAUUAUAACAACAGAACGAUUUCAGCAAUGCUAGAUAUUGCGUG
This is a long non-coding RNA of Ceratina calcarata, 484 nucleotides long. RefSeq lists it as uncharacterized. NCBI's taxonomy places the organism in Eukaryota, Metazoa, Arthropoda, Insecta, Hymenoptera, Apidae. The record is from RefSeq and is a predicted model, not a curated record. The transcript has 3 exons.